Long non-coding RNA from Nicotiana tabacum (common tobacco), 928 nucleotides. RefSeq lists it as uncharacterized. The record is from RefSeq and is a predicted model, not a curated record. NCBI's taxonomy places the organism in Eukaryota, Viridiplantae, Streptophyta, Magnoliopsida, Solanales, Solanaceae.
GAUAGGAUUAAUGGAGAGCGUACGAUUGAGUCUCACUCGAUCUACUCCCUCCAUUUGUCCUUUACUUAUUUUUAAAAUCAAAUUUUCAGAUUUUCACGAGAAGAAAAGAAGGGAAAUUUUCGGUUUCUUGGAGAGGAAGGAGAGAACAUUUUAGGUUCUCUAUAUAUACUCCAUUUUUCAGAUUUUCGUGGGGAAUUUUUGGACAGAAAACUUUGGGGAAAAAGGGAGAACAGAGGAGAAGGUUCUAGAGUUUGAGGGAGGUUUCAUUUUUGAUUUCAUCUACUUCUUUAGAGAAUCUGAUAGCCAUCCGAGAUUUACAGAAUGAAAAUUCCAAAAACGUUAGGUUUAGUUUCUCUUUUCUUUUGAAUCAAAUAUCACAAAAAAAGAAUUUGGCUUUUAUUUUGAUUUCGACCAUGGAAUUCACUUGAGGUGCUGAGAUUUGGUUUGAGUUCGUUGUCGAGUUCGUGAUUUCGGAUCCCGGUUCCUGGACUAAAUUAGCCCUUGUUUCGCUGGUUUUCAGACUCAAAGUUUGUAGUCGACCUGCUUUAUUUUGCUAUUAAAGAAAAACUGCUAUUUCAGCCGAGCUUUCGCCGUCAACAUUUCAUUUGUUGGUACUUUCGACCAAAGUUAAUUAUAAGGAAUUUGCUCGUUGAGGUAUGGAUCCACUUACCAGAGCUUGAGCAUGAGAGACGCCCUAGGGCCGUCUCAACCAAGACUGUUGCAUUUAGGAGCUACUUGAGGAGACUUUUUAUACUUUAAGUCUGUUUUUGUGUUGUCUUCUACUUUAUAGUCAUGUCUCAUAGUGUUGAGACUUAAAGGUGUUGUCAGAGUCUGUUGUAGUCUAGCUGAGUCUGUCAUCGCACUUCCGAUUUUGUAUUUAAAAAACCAAAAAAGUGAUAAAUGAAAAUUCAAAAAGAUUUUGUUUUAA